AAUGAGACCAGUCUCACUAAUCUGAAAUUUCUUCUUCUUUGCUUCGAAGCUCUUUCGGGUCUUAAAAUUAACUUCUCUAAGAGCGAGGUCAUUGUGACUGGGGUUUCUGAUUUGGAAGCACAACGGGUUGCACAUCUUCUGAACUGCUCCCUAGGAUCUUACCCUCUCAAAUACUUGGGCUUACCUAUUUCCCCGUUUAAGCUCUUGGCAAAAGAUUUUGCCCCGGUUGUCGCUAAAGUUUGCAAUAGAGUUCUUCCUUGGAGAGGUCGUUAUAACACGCAGGCGGGCAAGGUUGCCCUAACCAACUCGUGCCUCUCUUCUUUUCCGAUGUUCCUUAUGAGUUUCUACCUUAUGUCCGGCGGGAUUCACUCGGGUUUCGACAAGCAUAGGGGUGCCUUUUACUGGAACUCCGCCGACAAUAAACGCAAAUAUAGAUUGGUUAGAUGGAACCUCAUUUGUCGUCCUAAGGACAAAGGGGGUCUUGGCAUUAUUAAUACACGAGUCAUGAAC
RNAcentral lists this ribosomal RNA (510 nucleotides) under Triticum aestivum (bread wheat). Its description in RNAcentral is "partial small subunit ribosomal RNA". Lineage: Eukaryota; Viridiplantae; Streptophyta; Magnoliopsida; Poales; Poaceae. The record is from RNAcentral.